AGUGAACGCUGGCGGUAGGCCUAACACAUGCAAGUCGAACGGCAGCACAGUAAGAGCUUGCUCUUACGGGUGGCGAGUGGCGGACGGGUGAGGAAUACAUCGGAAUCUACUUUUUCGUGGGGGAUAACGUAGGGAAACUUACGCUAAUACCGCAUACGACCUACGGGUGAAAGCAGGGGAUCUUCGGACCUUGCGCGAUUGAAUGAGCCGAUGUCGGAUUAGCUAGUUGGCGGGGUAAAGGCCCACCAAGGCGACGAUCCGUAGCUGGUCUGAGAGGAUGAUCAGCCACACUGGAACUGAGACACGGUCCAGACUCCUACGGGAGGCAGCAGUGGGGAAUAUUGGACAAUGGGCGCAAGCCUGAUCCAGCAAUACCGCGUGGGUGAAGAAGGCCUUCGGGCUGUAAAGCCCUUUUGUUGGGAAAGAAAAGCAGCAGGUUAAUACCCCGCUGUUCUGACGGUACCCAAAGAAUAAGCACCGGCUAACUUCGUG
Molecule: ribosomal RNA, 492 nt
Filed under: uncultured bacterium
Lineage: Bacteria
Description: partial 16S ribosomal RNA
Rfam family: Bacterial small subunit ribosomal RNA
Source: RNAcentral